UUCCACAUCUUCGAUCUUCCCCGCCUCUUGAAUCCAAUUAAAGACAGUUGGGAUUUCCCAUGAAUCCUUGUAAAUGACAGCUCCAAGACCAUCAGGAAAAACUCGGGGAAUAUUAUCGGUAAAACCACCGCCUGUGAUGUGGGCUAUCCCCUUAACCCCACCCUUACUGAUAAUGUCAAGUACCUGUUUGACAUAUAUCACAGUAGGG
Molecule: unclassified non-coding RNA, 208 nt
Filed under: Hevea brasiliensis (rubber tree)
Lineage: Eukaryota; Viridiplantae; Streptophyta; Magnoliopsida; Malpighiales; Euphorbiaceae
Source: RNAcentral